Molecule: long non-coding RNA, 294 nt
Filed under: Pan troglodytes (chimpanzee)
Lineage: Eukaryota; Metazoa; Chordata; Mammalia; Primates; Hominidae
Description: long non-coding RNA NONPTRT010802
Source: RNAcentral
GGCAAAGUUGUUUUAGCGAUCUGGUUGCAACUAAGGCAAACGUUUGUCAUCCAAAUAUUGCUCUCUCCUUGGCGAUACCUUGUUGGUAGAAGUAGAAUUUAAAAUAUAUUAUUGCCAUUUGCCAGCUGACCUGUGACACAGCAGCAGUGUAUUACAUUUUCAAUGAGCAGUCUGUCUGGAGCUGCUAGUGGGAGAAACUGCUUCCUGGUUUCUAGGUUCUUUGCUCUGGGGUAGUUUAAGAUAAAUAUGGUAUCUGCCUCUACAUCAGUAUUAAGGUAAGUGCCAUUCCAGUAC